RNAcentral lists this ribosomal RNA (254 nucleotides) under uncultured bacterium. RNAcentral describes it as "partial 16S ribosomal RNA". It matches the Rfam family "Bacterial small subunit ribosomal RNA", at positions 524 to 776 of the family's 1533-position model. The record is from RNAcentral.
UACGUAGGGGGCAAGCGUUGUCCGGAUUUAUUGGGCGUAAAAGGCUUGUAGGUGGCCACGCCAAGUCGGAUGUGAAAUCUCCCGGCUCAACUGGGAGGGGUCAUUCGAUACUGGUGGGCUCGAGGCCGGUAGGGGGAAGUGGAAUUCCUGGUGUAGCGGUGAAAUGCGCAGAUAUCAGGAGGAACACCGGUGGCGAAGGCGGGACUCUGGGCCGAUACUGACGCUCAUGCACGAAAGCGUGGGGAGCAAACAGG